Molecule: non-coding RNA, 148 nt
Filed under: Gorilla gorilla gorilla (western lowland gorilla)
Lineage: Eukaryota; Metazoa; Chordata; Mammalia; Primates; Hominidae
Source: Rfam by way of RNAcentral
GCUGGGCGUGGUGGCGCACGCCUGUAAUCCCAGCUACUCAGGAGGCUGAGGCAGGAGAAUCGCUUGAACCCGGGAGGUGGAGCUUGCAGUGAGCUGAGAUCGUGCCAUUGUACUCCAGCCUGGGUGACAGGGCAAGACUCUGUCUCAA